Molecule: ribosomal RNA, 253 nt
Filed under: uncultured bacterium
Lineage: Bacteria
Description: partial 16S ribosomal RNA
Rfam family: Bacterial small subunit ribosomal RNA
Source: RNAcentral
UACGUAGGGGGCGAGCGUUGUCCGGAUUUAUUGGGCGUAAAGAGCGUGUAGGCGGCCAGGUAGGUCUGCUGUGAAAACUCGAGGCUCAACCUCGAGACGUCGGCGGAAACCAUCUGGCUAGAGUCCGGAAGAGGAGAGUGGAAUUCCUGGUGUAGCGGUGAAAUGCGCAGAUAUCAGGAAGAACACCCGUGGCGAAGGCGGGUCUCUGGACAGUUCCUGACGCUGAGGCACGAAGGCCAGGGGAGCAAACGGG